AAACUUGAAUGAUCCGUCGCAGACCGAAGUCAACGCGAUCCGUUCGGUUACUAUGAAUCACCUGAGGACCACCGGAAGGUGGGUUGGUUCUGUAUCUAAUAAACACUGCCCUUCCAGGGGAAGAGGCAUGUGCGCAUGUAUUAGCCAUAGAAUUACCACGGUUAUCCAUGUAGUAAAGACCAUCAAAUAAACUAUAACUGUUUUAAUGAGCCAUUCGCAGUUUAGCCGUAUAAAAGCUUAUACUUAGACAUGCAUGGCUUAAUCUUUAAGACAAGCAUAUGA
This 282-nucleotide ribosomal RNA is filed under the name Toxoplasma gondii ME49. Its description in RNAcentral is "Toxoplasma gondii rRNA TGME49_459010". The record is from RNAcentral. Lineage: Eukaryota; Apicomplexa; Conoidasida; Eucoccidiorida; Sarcocystidae.